Molecule: ribosomal RNA, 497 nt
Filed under: uncultured bacterium
Lineage: Bacteria
Description: partial 16S ribosomal RNA
Rfam family: Bacterial small subunit ribosomal RNA
Source: RNAcentral
GACGAACGCUGGCGGCGUGCCUAAUACAUGCAGGUUGAGCGCUGAAGGUUGGUACUUGUACCAACUGGAUGAGCAGCGAACGGGUGAGUAACGCGUGGGGAAUCUGCCUUUGAGCGGGGGACAACAUUUGGAAACGAAUGCUAAUACCGCAUAAAAACUUUAAACACAAGUUUUAAGUUUGAAAGGUGCAAUUGCAUCACUCAAAGAUGAUCCCGCGUUGUAUUAGCUAGUUGGUGAGGUAAAGGCUCACCAAGGCGAUGAUACAUAGCCGACCUGAGAGGGUGAUCGGCCACAUUGGGACUGAGACACGGCCCAAACUCCUACGGGAGGCAGCAGUAGGGAAUCUUCGGCAAUGGACGAAAGUCUGACCGAGCAACGCCGCGUGAGUGAAGAAGGUUUUCGGAUCGUAAAACUCUGUUGGUAGAGAAGAACGUUGGUGAGAGUGGAAAGCUCAUCAAGUGACGGUAACUACCCAGAAAGGGACGGCUAACUACGUG